AGUGGGGAAUAUUGGACAAUGGGCGCAAGCCUGAUCCAGCCAUGCCGCGUGAGUGAUGAAGGCCUUAGGGUUGUAAAGCUCUUUUGUCCGGGAAGAUAAUGACUGUACCGGAAGAAUAAGCCCCGGCUAACUUCGUGCCAGCAGCCGCGGUAAUACGAAGGGGGCUAGCGUUGCUCGGAAUCACUGGGCGUAAAGGGCGCGUAGGCGGACUCUUAAGUCGGGGGUGAAAGCCCAGGGCUCAACCCUGGAAUUGCCUUCGAUACUGAGAGUCUUGAGUUCGGAAGAGGUUGGUGGAACUGCGAGUGUAGAGGUGAAAUUCGUAGAUAUUCGCAAGAACACCAGUGGCGAAGGCGGCCAACUGGUCCGAUACUGACGCUGAGGCGCGAAAGCGUGGGGAGCAAA
This 402-nucleotide ribosomal RNA is filed under the name uncultured Allobosea sp. Its description in RNAcentral is "bacterial SSU rRNA". It matches the Rfam family "Bacterial small subunit ribosomal RNA", at positions 353 to 772 of the family's 1533-position model. Lineage: Bacteria; Pseudomonadati; Pseudomonadota; Alphaproteobacteria; Hyphomicrobiales; Alloboseaceae. The record is from RNAcentral.